GGCCUCAGACCUGGCUCGCCCGGGCCAUCUGCGCGGCGCCCGCGCCCGCUCGCUUCCGUCCCGCGGCGCCGGUCUCCGGCUCUCGGUCCGCCGCCUCCCGCCGCCCGCCGGCCGCGGGGCGCACAGCGAGUCAGAGCGCGGCCGCGCGGGACUCCAUGCCGGCCGGCGCGCCGCCGCCGUUGGGGCGCAUGGCUCAGGCGGGGCGGCCCGCGGGGGCGCACAUCCUUCGGCCGGGGCGCGGGGCGCGGGGCUCGCGGUCCCCUCCGCGGGCUGCACAGCGAAGGCGGCGGAGAGGCGGGGCGUGUUCCGGCGCUGUCGCCGCGCAGCCAGGGGCUGGGGAGCCGCGGCUUCGCCCUCCGGGGCGGUGAAGAGGGAGGCCGGCGGCGCUGCCGCUCACGGUGCGUGUCUCGCGGCGCGCGGCUCUUGCCUCCAGCCGGAGCUCCACGCCGAUGGGGCGGCGCUGAUUAGGAUUUGAGGCGACGCGACGCGGGCGGACGCGGGUCCCCUCCGCGUUUCCGGGUCGGGGGGCUCUGCCAGAGGUUCCGCCGCCGAUCGGCGCCACUCAAGUUGCCCGGGGGCUCCGUCUGAGCGCUCGCUCUGCAGACGGCCGCGGCCCGGAGGCUGGCAGAAGGCGGGCACGGGAGGCGCGCGGGGCGAGGGCGCCGUGGAGCGCGGGGCGUGGGGACGCGCGGCGGCGGCGCCGCGCGGAGGAGGCGCGCGGGUAUCCCGGGGCCCCGCCGCCCGCGCCCACCGCGCCCGCCGCAGAGCCGCCCGCGCUGCUCGGCCGCCUCGCUCUUCGCGUCUGCCUCUCAGCGCGCUCGCCCCCGCCUCCCGGAGCCGGUCCCAACUCCGCCCGCCCGGCCCGGCUCACGUCACCCGCCUUCCCCGCCCCUCGAACGGGAGCUCGAGUCCCCGACCCGGCCCCGGCUCCUGCUCGCCGUCCCACCUUGCGGGGGCCGGGGUCGCCGCGGGGGGAGGGGGUCAGAGGGCUGUGCCCAGCGCGGGCGACAGCGCAGGCGGGGCUUCUUCAGCCCCCUUCCCCAUCCCCGGUCGCGUCCCGGUCCCCACCUUGCGAAAGGCUCGAGAGAGGCCGCAGGCUCCGAUUGGACCGCCGGGCGCCGCCGGAUGGUGUUGCCAGGCUGCUGCCUGGCCAGGCCCUUGCUCCGGAGGAGUCACUGGAAAGUUCCAGGGAAUCUGGGCCUCCCAGACUCUCCACCGGCGUUUCACUGCUCCCUCCCCAUGCCAGGACUCCUCUGUGCCUACCUGGUUAGUCUGUAUUUGCAAAUAAAAAACGAAAACAAACACACACACACAAAAGGGGGGGCACUUAAAGGAGGACAGACACUGGGUGAGGACCUUUCCCUGAGAGAAGUGACAUGGGGCGGAAUCCUCCACAGACCCGCUGACGCUUUGAGAAACCACGACAAAGCCCUGCUUUUAAUCCUCCAUAGGCUGAGGGCAGUGCCGAAUCCGGGCCUUGGAAAGGACGCUGGUGCCACCCUUCAUCUGGGAAAGGCCUCCAGGAUCUUUGCCAAGGGUCUUGAGGAGCCAGGCACAGGAUUGGACUCUGCCCAGGCAGGACGAAGGCAGUGACUUCCCCACAAAGACUCCCGGGAGAGGGCCAGAGGCAGCGAGGUGUGGUGGCAGGAGCACCAGCUUUGCCCUGGGUAGACCAGGGGCCGGCGCUUGCUAAGUCGGGGUCCUGGCCGAGUUGUCUGGCCUCUCCGACCCUCGGUCUCCUCUUCUGUAAGACGUGGGGCCCACAGCCCCUGCCCGGGGAGGUGUUGGCAGGGCUCCAGGAGGCCUCACGCACGGUGUGGCUGCGGCCAUCUGGGAGCCGGCCAGAGGAUCAGAGAGGCAGCAGGGUGACUCAGCAGUUUCCCUGCCGGGCCGCCCCUGGGUCAUCGUCCCCUAGAACCUCUCCCUGAAGGGUGUGAGGGAGCGGAUCCCACUAAGAGUCGGAGGAGACAGGGAGGUCCUGGAACCAGCGGGGCCCAUGGCGGCGGGCGGGGAAGGAGGCGCCCGCCGUGCUGCCACCUAGCGGGAUGAGGUGGCGGUGCUGCACCAGGGAGGCCCUUCCUGCAACCCGACUGGACCUGGAGGAGCCCGGCUUCGCAGACGAGGAGCCAGGAGGGCAGGCAGGGACCCCGGACCGGACCGUGUCGGCUCCAGGAACCCCUUGAGCAGCCUUGUGGACACCUGCUAACCUCUCUCAGAAUGCCUUCUAAAUGCAUAGAUGAAAAAGC
Molecule: long non-coding RNA, 2246 nt
Organism: Piliocolobus tephrosceles (Ugandan red Colobus)
Lineage: Eukaryota; Metazoa; Chordata; Mammalia; Primates; Cercopithecidae
Source: Ensembl